This 1618-nucleotide ribosomal RNA is filed under the name human gut metagenome. Its description in RNAcentral is "bacterial LSU rRNA". The stretch from base 222 to 1618 matches the Rfam family "Bacterial large subunit ribosomal RNA", at positions 1 to 1980 of the family's 2925-position model. The record is from RNAcentral.
CAGGGCGACAAAGUUCAGAUCGUCGGCUUUGGCUGCUUUGAAGUUCGCGAACGUCCCGCACGCAAGGGCCGCAACCCCAUGACCGGUGAGGCUAUCGAUAUCGAUGCCACCCGUUCCGUUGCUUUCAAGCCCGGCAAGUCCAUUAAAGACGCUAUGGACAACAAAUAAUUUUCGCUUAUAAACCAAGCUUUCCGGCCGCACUGUAUGUCAUAUAGCGCGGCUUUUAAUUUAUUUAUUCGAAAAGGCUUGAUUUCUGCCGUUUUCGUGGUAAAAUACUGUUGAGGCAGCUGAGCUGCCUCGGAAUCAAAUAUUUUUCGGAGGUAAUACUCAUGGCUUAUCGUAUCACUGAAGCUUGCAUCGCAUGCGGCGUGCAGUACACCCGAAACCGGGUGACCUAUCCAUGGACAGGAUGAAGCGACGGUAAGACGUCGUGGAGGUCCGAACCACACGUACGUGAAAAGUGCGGGGAUGAGCUGUGGAUAGCGGAGAAAUUCCAAUCGAACUCGGAGAUAGCUGGUUCUCCCCGAAAUAGCUUUAGGGCUAGCCUCGAUUUAGAUUAUUGGGGGUAGAGCACUGAAUGGGCUAGGGGGCCACAAAGCUUACUGAACCCUAUCAAACUGCGAAUACCAAUUAAUUGAUGAUCGGGAGUCAGACAGUGAGAGAUAAGUUCCAUUGUCGAAAGGGAAACAGCCCAGAUCCACGACUAAGGUCCCAAAAUACACGUUAAGUGGAAAAGGAUGUGCAGUUGCACAGACAACCAGGAUGUUGGCUUAGAAGCAGCCACUCAUUUAAAGAGUGCGUAAUAGCUCACUGGUCGAGUGAUUGUGCGCCGAAAAUGUAACGGGGCUAAACUUGACACCGAAGUCUAGGCAGAAGGAAACUUCUGGGUAGGGGAGCAACGUGUACGGGCAGAAGCAGAAGCGGAAGCGACUGUGGACUGUACAGGAGAGAGAAUGCCGGCAUGAGUAGCGAGAGCAAAGUGAGAAUCUUUGCCGUCGAAAGCCUAAGGUUUCCUGAGGAAGGCUCGUCCUCUCAGGGUAAGUCGGGACCUAAGCCGAGGACAAUAGUCGUAGGCGAUGGACAAUCGGUUAAUAUUCCGAUACCGCCGAGCAACCGGAUGCAGUGACACAGAAGGAUAGGCAGAGCGUGGCGAUGGUAGACCACGUCCAAGCAGUGAGGCUGUUGUGUAGUGAAGUACGCACAACGGAAGGCUGGGCUGUGAUGGGGAACGAUUACGAUCGGUAAGCUGCUGAAUUCACGCUGGCGAGAAAAGCUGCUACGAAGCGAAGGCGCCCGUACCGCAAACCGACACAGGUAGGCGAGGAGAGAAUCCUAAGACGAGCGGGAGAACCCUUGUUAAGGAACUCGGCAAAAUGACUCCGUAACUUAGGGAGAAGGAGUGCCUCGAGAGAGGCCGCAGAGAAUAGGCCCAAGCGACUGUUUACCAAAAACACAGGUCUGUGCGAAGUAGAGAUACGACGUAUACGGGCUGACGCCUGCCCAGUGCCGGAAGGUUAAGGGGAAGUGUUAGGGCAACCGAAGCACGGAACUUAAGCCCCGGUGAACGGCGGCCGUAACUAUAACGGUCCUAAGGUAGCGAAAUUCCUUGUCGGGUAAG